RNAcentral lists this ribosomal RNA (252 nucleotides) under uncultured bacterium. RNAcentral's name for it is "partial 16S ribosomal RNA". It matches the Rfam family "Bacterial small subunit ribosomal RNA", at positions 524 to 776 of the family's 1533-position model. The record is from RNAcentral.
UACGUAGGGUGCUAGCGUUAUCCGGAUUUACUGGGCGUAAAGGGUGCGUAGGUGGUCUUUCAAGUCGGUGGUUAAAGGCUACGGCUCAACCGUAUUAAGCCGCCGAAACUGGAAGACUUGAGUGCAGGAGAGGAAAGUGGAAUUCUCAGUGUAGCGGUGAAAUGCGUAGAUAUAUGGAGGAACACCGGUGGCGAAAGCGGCUCUCUGGUCUGUAACUGACACUGAGGAGCGAGAGCGUGGGGAGCGAACAGG